This 1456-nucleotide long non-coding RNA is filed under the name Chelonoidis abingdonii (Abingdon island giant tortoise). RNAcentral's name for it is "lncRNA (ENSCABG00000021382.1)". The record is from RNAcentral. Lineage: Eukaryota; Metazoa; Chordata; Testudines; Testudinidae.
AUGGAAAUCUACGAGGGAGUUUAAGUUGUCUGUCCAGAGGAUGAAAAUGUCAUCAAUAAAUUUCAGGUAUUUCAUUGGAUUUGUGGUGCCCUUGUCCAGGAAUUCUUCUGUAAGUUAGCUCAUGAAGAGUUUGGUGUAUUGGGGAGCUAUCCUAGCAGCUGGAAGCACACCGGUGUUUACUAUGGAAGCAAGAAAGUUAAUCACUUUAACGGACAAGUCUACAUACAAGGAAUUGAUGCUAUGGAAAGAAUCAAGGGGAAAUAUCAGAUUCUGAGACUUAAACAAGGAAUCAAUGAAGAAGCUUUCCUGAAGAAGGCAGAUGCCAUGCUGAAUGCUAAGACAACGUACAACUGUUUCACAAACAACUGCAUCCAUUUUGCACUUUUCCUUUUGGAUAUGGAAGAGUUUUACCAUGAAAUAGUGCCCCUGAACAUGACAGGACAAGUGGAUCAGAAUGAGUGCAACAGAGCCAGACAAUUCCAGAAUAACAUGUCACAGAGAGAGAUUCCCUUACGUCAUUUUCCAUAAGGACAUAAAAAAUAAUGCUUGUUAGGAUAUAGAUAUUCAAGUCUGUCUGUAAAGGCCUCUACUUUAAGAAUUUAGGUAUGUUUAUCAUUUAGCUAGUUUUAGAGCUAUAAAACAAAGAAUCAAAAUCACCGUCUGCCUGUGUAUGGGCCUUCUCUCACUGUGAUAGUCUGAGGCCUGGUUCUUAGGCUAAGGCCCUUGCUAAGCAGCAGAAGCAGUCAUAAGCUGGGAAGCGUAGGGUCACAUCCUCACAUUCCAAACUAGUCAUAUUGAAAUACGGUGCUAUUGGGCUGUUAGGAAUACAAUCCUGGCCUGAUGAUGUCUAUCAUCACCAGAUAAAGAUGGUUAAAGAAAACUUAGUUUGAUAGCAUCCUGUCUGGCAAGAAAUCACUAAUCAAUAGUUGUGGUUGUGAAACUCUCAUUUCUGUAUGUUUUAUCUCUAUGGCCCCCACUUUUCUAUUGUUAAUCUGUCUGGUUCUCUAAUGGUUUCUGUCUGCUGUAUAAUUAAUUUUGUUAGGUGCAAGUUAAUUAGGGUAGUGGUAUAUAAUUGGUUAGAGAAUUAUGUUACAGUAUGUUAGGAUUAGUUAGAUUUCAGUAGAAUGAUUGGUUAAGGUAUAGCUGAAAAUAUUACUAUAUAAAUUAGGGGCAAACAGGAAGUAAGUUGUGAUUCGAAAAUAAGGAAAAAGGAACUUGGAUAUUGUUGCUCUCUGUUCACACGAGAAGGAUGAGGGAAGUGGGAGGGUGAAGGAAUAAGCCCUCUAACAAUGCUGUACAAAACACUGUCUGAAGCAGAGGUUGCAUGAUAGGCUGCAUGGUGUAAUAGGCAAGGCCUCUUCCCAACUCUGGGGUCACUUCCCAACUCUGCCACUGAGCCUGUUUGGGGCCUCGAGAUGCUACUUAACCCAAUAAACAAACAAGCAGUAAAUAACCA